Molecule: ribosomal RNA, 492 nt
Filed under: Exutisphaerella laricina
Lineage: Eukaryota; Fungi; Ascomycota; Dothideomycetes; Mycosphaerellales; Mycosphaerellaceae
Description: SSU rRNA
Rfam family: Bacterial small subunit ribosomal RNA
Source: RNAcentral
AUUUGGGGGAACGCAGGUAUAUAAAGUAUAAAGUAUAUACGCAUCGACUAUGUCGAAUAAAGUUCUAAAUAGAUAAUUGAUUAUGACAAACUUCUAUUUACAUGUCUCGACCAAUUCUUGUGCCAGCAGUCGCGGCAACACAAGCGAGACUAGUGUUAUUCAUCUUUAUUAGGUUUAAAGGGUACCUAGACGGUAAUUUCAGCUCCUAAAGAGUACAGAAUUGCUAGAGUUUUAUGUGAGAGGUAAAUAUUAGGACCAUUGGUGUAGAGAUGAAAUUCUUUGAUACUAAUGGGAUGUGUAACGGCGAAGGCAACCCUCUAUGUAAAAACUGACGUUAAGGGACGAAGGCUUGGGGAGCAAAUAGGAUUUGACACCCUAGUAGUCCAGGCAGAAAAUUAUGUAUGUUAUAUACUAAGUUUAAAUUUAGUGUAUAAAUGAAAGUGUAAGCAUACCACCUCAAGAGUAAUGUGGCAACACAGGAACUGAAAUCAU